Non-coding RNA from Schizosaccharomyces pombe (fission yeast), 629 nucleotides. NCBI's taxonomy places the organism in Eukaryota, Fungi, Ascomycota, Schizosaccharomycetes, Schizosaccharomycetales, Schizosaccharomycetaceae. The record is from the annotation of a GenBank genome assembly.
CUUCUCAGCAAUAUGGCGCAUAAUGGAAUGAACAGCCUUAGAUUUGUUGAAGCGUUCUUCGCACUUUACAACAUCCUCAGGGCUAACACGGCGCUUUGAAAGAUCGAUGUAUCCUUAAUCCUGGUUAGUACAUUCCUAACAACUUAUAAACCUUUUUUCCCCUUUUGUUUUUCUUUUUUUUAAAAAAAAAAAAAAAAAAAACUACUAAUAAAUUCUUACCUUUUUCCUUGUCGACACGUAAGACCACGACGACUUCAUUACGACCAACGCGAAUAUGCUUUUGUACUGAACGAAUACGACGUCUGGAAAGCUCAGAGAGCAAAACCAUUCCUUCAAUAUUAUCGUAUUCCAACAAUUUUACAUAAGCGCCCAUCUCCUGGAUUUGACGAACUAUUGGAAAUAUUAGCCAUUACCGUUUCUUUAGACAGACAACAUGUGCAUUUUUUACAUACCGUUGACAACAACGAGUUCAUCCACUUCCGGGAAGCGAUUCUCGUACAUUCUGCAGCUUGUCGUCGACAUUUUUGCAAAGUGUUGAGUGUUUGGUUCUGAGUAAAAAUUUGUGUGGACUACCCACUUCUAAACUCUAGGGGCCAAUUUUGCUUCUUUUCAGAACCCAGACAUUGGUC